UCAGGAUUAACGCUGGCGGCGUGCCUAACACAUGCAAGUCGAACGGAAUAUCUUCGGAUAUUAGUGGCGAACGGGUGAGUAAAGUACAGGUAAUGUACCUCCGUACUGCGAAUAACAAGCUGAAAAGUUUGCUAAUACGGAAUAGUUUCUCGAGAGGCAUCUUUUGAAGAAUAAAGAUUUAUCGUGCGGAGAUCAGCCUGUAUCCUAUUAGUUAGUUGGUGGGGUAAUGGCCUACCAAGACGACGAUGGGUAACUGGUCUGAGAGGAUGAGCAGUCACAUUGGAACUGAGAUACGGUCCAAACUCCUACGGGAGGCAGCAGUGAGGAAUUUUGCGCAAUGGGGGAAACCCUGACGCAAGCAACGCCGCGUGAGUGAUGACGGCCUUCGGGUUGUAAAGCUCUGUCGUGUGUGACGAGUAGGGACGGUAACACACAAGGAAGCCUCGGCUAACUACGUGCCAGCAGCCGC
This 469-nucleotide ribosomal RNA is filed under the name uncultured bacterium. RNAcentral's name for it is "bacterial SSU rRNA". It matches the Rfam family "Bacterial small subunit ribosomal RNA", at positions 24 to 518 of the family's 1533-position model. The record is from RNAcentral.